GACAGAGGGUGCAAACGUUGUUCGGAAUUACUGGGCGUAAAGAGCGUGUAGGCGGCCCUGUAAGUCGGGUGUGAAAUCCCACGGCUCAACCGUGGAAGUGCACUCGAAACUACAGGGCUAGAGUCCUGGAGAGGAAGGUGGAAUGCUUGGUGUAGAGGUGAAAUUCGUAGAUAUCAAGCGGAACACCGGUGGCGAAGGCGGCCUUCUGGACAGUGACUGACGCUGAGACGCGAAAGCGUGGGGAGCAAACAGG
This 253-nucleotide ribosomal RNA is filed under the name uncultured bacterium. RNAcentral's name for it is "partial 16S ribosomal RNA". It matches the Rfam family "Bacterial small subunit ribosomal RNA", at positions 524 to 776 of the family's 1533-position model. The record is from RNAcentral.